CAGUCGCCGCGGGAAAACGUAGGUGGCAAGCGUUGUCCCGAAUUAUUGGGCGUAAAGCGCGCGCAGGUGGUUUAAUAAGUCUGAUGUGAAAGCCCACGGCUCAACCGUGGAGGGUCAUUGGAGACUGUUAAACUUGAGUGCAGGAGAGAAAAGUGGAAUUCCUAGUGUAGCGGUGAAAUGCGUAGAGAUUAGGAGGAACACCAGUGGCGAAGGCGGCUUUUUGGCCUGUAACUGACACUGAGGCGCGAAAGCGUGGGGAGCAAACAGGAUUAGAUACCCCAGUAGUCCCUGUCUCUUAUAC
RNAcentral lists this ribosomal RNA (301 nucleotides) under uncultured bacterium. RNAcentral's name for it is "partial 16S ribosomal RNA". It matches the Rfam family "Bacterial small subunit ribosomal RNA", at positions 509 to 807 of the family's 1533-position model. The record is from RNAcentral.